ACCUGUUACACAAUACAGCGCUGUUCAGUAGUAGGAGGAAAAAGAGCCAGUUUAGUCACUGCACAUUUACACAAGCUGUCUGCUAGCAUGUGUGCAGUGUCAACUAAAGCCAGAAACUCUUUGCAAGUACUUCCAAGCAAAUACUUCCAAGCGAGUACUAGCGAUGCAUUACAAAGUACAGCACUGUGCAUACUGUUUUCAGUCAACUGGCUGGAAAAGAAGAAGGUCUGCGUUAAUGCUGGUUCUACGUAUGCCAAGACUAAAAAUGUCCAAUUGCAUAGAGCCCAAUUCAGAUCUAACGCAUUACUGCCGGCGUGCGCUAAAAUGUGAGGCUCUUUAAAUCUAGCAAUUCACUUUGAUUUAAGCAAUUAAACAAUCGCGGCGCUCCUAAUGGACCGACUAAUAACGUUUCUUUAAAAUUCAUUUAACCACUUUGGCUCUGAAUGUCAAAAGCUUUUACAAGCAGCUUUACAAGUUAGACGGGGGGCAUCUGAGGGAGCCAGUGCAGCGCAGCACUAAUCACCGGCCAAUUUAGAGCUGUCACUCAAACGCGUUUCUUUCAUGAUUCGAAAACAUCCACUUACAUUUCACAGAAUGCCUCGACGUAACCGCCUUAAACGUCCCCACAGGAUUAAUAUUCCCACCGAACAUGCGCUCCGCACGUGGACCCGUGAAACAAGUAGGCAAAUCGAGAUGAAGAUGCGUCUCGCUUUCUUCUAAAGCUGGAAAUCAAAAGCGAGCCGUCUAACGUCGUAUACCUUGAUCCUUCACUUGAUAGGUGUUGAUGAGUGGAAGUGAAUCCCUGUGGUCUCGUUAUGCGUCCACCGAAAGCCUCUCCCAGGUUUGAUGUUUGAUCAGUUGAGUGGCCUUGCGUUUGACUGCUUUCUUCUUAGACUGGAGAAAAACCUGACAUUCCCAAGACACAACCAGAUCUGGAGGAUUUUCUUGGUUCCUGAGGAGCAUGUUUCAUAAUCAGCGUUUGGGAUUGACUACCGGUACAAAAAAACAUCAGACAGAAGUGGAUUAACUACUAUAUGAAUGGACAGACAGACCGACAACCGGCCUCCGCCACGGAUUGCAGGAGAUUGAAACCAACUCCGGAGAUAAUUCACGAGCCAGUAAAAACGUGGUCCCCCGACAUCUUUCCCAGAGGCAAUUCGGAAGACGUGAAAGUCAUAUAUCAUAAGUCAUGAACCGUCCUUUGUGGAGCUUGGCGGAUGACACCGUUUCAUAUGGAUGGUAACUCGUAUAGAAAAGAAUAAGGGAACCAAAGAGAACCAAACCUGAGCGGACACCGAGCUGCCUACCUAGAGAGCAAUUUAAGGCAUCACUGGUGCAUUCCCAACAUAAAGCCCAUGCCAAAAAGUAAGCAGAAACAUUUUGCUGACAAAUCUGACAUUGAGAGAGCAAUCCAAACCCAGAGAGAUGAAAAUAAAAAUGUGUAAUCUAAAAGUCAAGAUGAAUUUCAGUUUUCUGCAUCACGGAAAUUGCAAGACCCUAAGUAUGCGAAACAGCUCGUAUAGAACAACACCUCAUGCCUUAUUUAACUAAGACUGCACGGGUCAGUGAAUAUCAAUGACCUUUACUUAUGAAUAAUGAAAACUGAUGACAUUUAAUCUUAAAUGUCUAAACACAAUCAAUCAGUAUAACCUUUUUAGUUUAGUGUGAGUGCCUCAUAAUUAUUGA
Long non-coding RNA from Puntigrus tetrazona (Sumatra barb), 1686 nucleotides. RefSeq lists it as uncharacterized. Lineage: Eukaryota; Metazoa; Chordata; Actinopteri; Cypriniformes; Cyprinidae. The record is from RefSeq and is a predicted model, not a curated record. The transcript has 5 exons.